This 75-nucleotide transfer RNA is filed under the name Lepas australis. RNAcentral's name for it is "tRNA-Lys". It matches the Rfam family "tRNA". From Rfam's summary of the family: Transfer RNA (tRNA) molecules are approximately 80 nucleotides in length. Their secondary structure includes four short double-helical elements and three loops (D, anti-codon, and T loops). The record is from RNAcentral. Lineage: Eukaryota; Metazoa; Arthropoda; Thecostraca; Lepadidae.
CACACUGUAGCUUAAUGAAAGCAUUAGGCUUUUAAUCUAAUGAUGGGCCCUAAAAUAACCUCGGCCUCGGUGUGG